CUGCGAGCGAACUGGGAAGAGCUCAUGGCGAAAUCCGCCGUCGUUGCGACGGUCCGGAUAUUUCGCGUAUAGGAGAGACGCUUCCGAACGUCGACGCCGGUGUAAGUCCCCCUGACUGGGGCUCCUACCCCGAGAGGGUGCAAGGCCCGUAGCGGCCGGCGUCGGCUUCGGAUGUCCUCUCCGGGGAGUCGGGUUGCUUGAGAGUGCAGCCCCAAUCGGGUGGUAAACUCCAUCUAAGGCUAAAUACGACCCGGAGACCGAUAGCGAACAAGUACCGUGAGGGAAAGUUGAAAAGGACUUUGAAGAGAGAGUUCAAGAGUACGUGAAACCGUUCGAAGGUAAACGAGUGGGCCCUCGAAGCCGUAAGGCGGGGGGACUCAGCCGGGCGCCUCCGGCCCGCCGUCGCGCGCGCGCUUCCCCACCGGGACGCGCCGCGGCGGAACCGGCCGGGGUUCCCGGCGCAUUUCCUCCCGCCCUCGGACGCUGCGACCGGUCGCGCGUGCCACGAGCGGUCGGCCUUACUCGCGGGGACCGGCAGG
RNAcentral lists this ribosomal RNA (539 nucleotides) under Calicina kaweahensis. RNAcentral's name for it is "partial 28S ribosomal RNA". It matches the Rfam family "Eukaryotic large subunit ribosomal RNA", at positions 87 to 509 of the family's 3401-position model. Lineage: Eukaryota; Metazoa; Arthropoda; Arachnida; Opiliones; Phalangodidae. The record is from RNAcentral.